This 377-nucleotide unclassified non-coding RNA is filed under the name soil metagenome. Its description in RNAcentral is "partial contains 5.8S ribosomal RNA, internal transcribed spacer 2, and large subunit ribosomal RNA". The stretch from base 1 to 121 matches the Rfam family "5.8S ribosomal RNA", at positions 35 to 154 of the family's 154-position model. The record is from RNAcentral.
GAUGAAGAACGCAGCGAAAUGCGAUAAGUAAUGUGAAUUGCAGAAUUCAGUGAAUCAUCGAAUCUUUGAACGCACCUUGCGCCCUUUGGCCAUUCCGAAGGGCAUGCCUGUUCGAGCGUCAUUAUCACCCCUCAAGCCCUCGGCUUGGUGUUGGACGGUUUGGUGGAGACCCCCUUCGCGGGCUUCUACCCCUCCCAAAGACAAUGACGGCGGCCUCGUUGGACCCCCGGUACACUGAGUUCUUCACGGGACACGUAUCGGACACACGGGUUUACGGGACACGGUCUGCCUCCCCUCAGGGAGAAUCUUCUUAUCAAGGUUGACCUCGGAUCAGGUAGGGAUACCCGCUGAACUUAAGCAUAUCAAUAAGCGGAGGA